UCAAAACAUAAACCAAUAGACUCAACUUAAAACAUAAGUCCCAAUUAGAAAUCUACAUAGUAUUUGAAAAUCAAUCCGGGAGGAUAACUCUUAUGUCAACUCCAAAAUCAUAGAAAUGAUAAGCGAAACUAAAAUCAAACUUUCUUACUUUCUUGAGAACAAUAAAUAUAGAAAAGAUAUUUAUAAAGCGAUAGUCGCAUGCAAUUUAUUAAAAGUAAAAGUCCACUCACAGAUUUAGGCCUAAGCCCGACGGAAUCCAAAUCGUCACUCAAGUGAAGUCUCCUCGUAUUCUGGAAUCCAAAGCUCUCCUCACAAACUCUGAUACUCACGAGCAUUCCGUUCCUCGGGUAACUGGAGUCCCUAAUGUCCGACAUUACACAACUGUAAGCCUUAAUAAUAUCCCGAUUAAAACCCACACCAACUUUAUAGAGAAAUUUUGAAAACUAACCAACUUUUGGUCAUCAAGAUGGUUUUUAACCUUCUUUUUUAUUUUAGUUGAAAACUAACCAUUUUACAAGAUAAAAUGACUAUUAUGUCAUUUUAUUUAGUUGCAAGGAAAAAUUUCAUAUUCCAUGAACAGAUUUAAUAUAUUCCAUCUGCAAGAGACUUUAGGUUUUUUUCCAAUCCAUGGGCAUAUUCGUUUAAUCCAAGUACAAAAGCUCUAGGAUUUUUCAUUUUCUUGUUUCAUCGUGUAUCCCAUCCCAAGGAUUCACUGUUGGAAACUUGGAAUUGAGUUUUCUACAAGUCUGAACUUCUUUGUCUCCAAUUAAUUAUGGCAAUGAUCAUAAUCAAUGUAUAUAUACAAAGCAUCUUGGUCUCUUCUAUUCCUCUUUUCUGUAUUUUUCUGAAUUGGGUUGUUGGAGUUCUUGCACAUGUAAGUCCCCUGAAAACCCCAAACUUCAAAUCCCUAAAUCCACAAAACUUUUAUUGAAAUUGAAACAUUGUAAAUCUAUGUCAUUCACGAAAUCUGAACAAUAUGAAUAUGAUACCUAGCUAGAUGCUCCUCAAUUGGAUGUAGAAAAAAUAAACCCCAUAAAUUAAAUACUCAAGAAGUUCAGUUGUUGUGGUAGACGAACGAUUGAACAAGAAUUUCAUAUUUUUCCUUUCCUUUUUUUGAGAAAAAAUAUAAAAAGGUAUUUAAAAUGGUUAUUUGAUUUAAAAGGGUAUUAAAAACUUUUAAUACUAUCAUAUGGUUAUUUUUUAACUAAAUAAAAAAAAAAAGGUUAAAAACCAUCUUGAUAACCAAAAUUUGGUUAGUUUUCAAAAUUUCUCAACUUUAUAUGACCAUCAUAAUUGUCAUCUCAUUCUUUUCGAUGUCAAAUUACUAUGGGCACCCGAUAAGAAAUUAUUAAUUAGAACAUUAUGUCAGUUUAUCAAAGCUAACAUUGUCCUUGAGACAAUUACUCGUUCGCUAGUAAUUGUCAAGCAUUACCACAUUUCAUAAUCUUUCGACCUUAACUUACAUGCAUUUCAAUAUACCAUAGUUUACUACACCUAUCAUCAUCUGCCUCUUAAUUCCAUAACAAUUUAAAUCAGCUUUCAUGCCACUAAUAUUUAGUAAUAGUUCCACGACCCAACUUCUUAUUAAUAAACUAAUUUCAAUUAUGUGACCACACAAGUGACCACACAACACAAUGAGUACCAGAAUCACCAUUUGGCUUCUUCCUUACCUUAAUUAAAGACCAAUUUGAUCGAACCGAAACUCUAUUAAUUACUCUCUACACCCAAGUGUAUAAUUAGCAGCAACGAAUACUCCUUCAGUUUCUUCCUUCACAAAAACAGUAACCAAACAACAUCUAAGUCGUCAUCGAAACUCAGAAACUAGCAACUAAGCAGAAUACUAACUUUCAGAAAUCAAAAAUCAACUCACCUAUCAAUCAAAAGGGUUCAUGGCAGAAUUGAGGCUCAACUUAACUCCUCAGCUAAGAACACCACAGCUGCUAGCCCUCUCCUUUCGAUAUAGUCCUUAACCCGAGACACAGUAGCCAAAACAAGGGAAAUCCUUACCCUUGUCAACCAACACAGUAGCUUCGCUUCGCUGCUCCAACUCCUAAUCCGUCAUGGCGUCGACUUGUAGCAGAAAACAACCGAUUAAUACCACCUAUAGCCCAGUAACAACAACAAGCAACCCAAAAACACAACCCUUACUUUAAUUAACUCCCUCCAAGGCCAGCUUAGUAGUUUUCUUCCUUUCCAUAAUCAAAUCUAGUGCUUAAUAUCACCCUCCACAGCAAGCUCGUCUUCCAAUAGAACGUCUCUUUUUCUGUGAAUCCAUCAAGUCAUUGCUAUUUCAAUCUCAGCUUUGUCGUUUCUCCAUCCAAAAAUGCAAACUCCAUAGACCUCACACAACCAAAAGUCAAAAUAACCUACUUCAGAUCAGUCGGCAGAGUUAGGAGCGUGCGACAAGAACACAGAUGCUUGACGCCAACUAGACUCGACGCUUGUCGUUGAUAUGGGUCGGGGUCGGGUCAAACUUUGUUGCUGGUUUGGUGGGUGGCUUGGUCGGGUCAACAAGCAUACUAGGCCGCGGCGAAUACUUAUACAUGUCUUUCUUUUCUUUUUUUCUUUUUUUCUCAUUCU
This 2580-nucleotide long non-coding RNA is filed under the name Fragaria vesca (wild strawberry). RNAcentral's name for it is "long non-coding RNA (FVES_LNC003303)". The record is from RNAcentral. Lineage: Eukaryota; Viridiplantae; Streptophyta; Magnoliopsida; Rosales; Rosaceae.